ACUCCUACGGGAGGCAGCAGUGGGGAAUAUUGCACAAUGGGGAAACCCUGAUGCAGCCAUGCCGCGUGUGUGAAGAAGGCCUUCGGUUGUAAGCACUUCAGUAGGGAGGAAGGUAGUGUAGUUAACACCUGCAUUAUUUGACGUUACCUACAGAAGAAGCACCGGCUAACUCCGUGCCAGCAGCCGCGGUAAUACGGAGGGGUGCGAGCGUUAAUCGGAAUUACUGGGCGUAAAGCGCAUGCAGGCGGCCUGUUAAGUCAGAUGUGAAAGCCCGGGGGCUUAACCUCGGAAUUGCAUUUGAAACUGGCAGGCUAGAGUCUGUAGAGGGGGUAGAAUUUCAGGUGUAGCGGUGAAAUGCGUAGAGAUCUG
This 369-nucleotide ribosomal RNA is filed under the name uncultured bacterium. RNAcentral describes it as "bacterial SSU rRNA". It matches the Rfam family "Bacterial small subunit ribosomal RNA", at positions 335 to 700 of the family's 1533-position model. The record is from RNAcentral.